UACGUAGGGUGCAAGCGUUGUCCGGAGUUAUUGGGCGUAAAGAGCUCGUAGGCGGCUUGUCGCGUCGGCUGUGAAAACCCGGGGCUCAACCCCGGGCCUGCAGUCGAUACGGGCAGGCUAGAGUCCGGCAGGGGAGACUGGAAUUCCUGGUGUAGCGGUGGAAUGCGCAGAUAUCAGGAGGAACACCGGUGGCGAAGGCGGGUCUCUGGGCCGUUACUGACGCUGAGGAGCGAAAGCGUGGGGAGCGAACAGG
Molecule: ribosomal RNA, 253 nt
Filed under: uncultured bacterium
Lineage: Bacteria
Description: partial 16S ribosomal RNA
Rfam family: Bacterial small subunit ribosomal RNA
Source: RNAcentral